AACCCCUAUGAUAACUGAUUACGAUUAAAAUGUUAAAAGUAGUGACUGAUAUCUUUUUGAUGACUUCAGCUCGGAGGGGCU
This is a small nucleolar RNA of Raphanus sativus (radish), 81 nucleotides long. RefSeq annotates it as small nucleolar RNA R21. NCBI's taxonomy places the organism in Eukaryota, Viridiplantae, Streptophyta, Magnoliopsida, Brassicales, Brassicaceae. The record is from RefSeq and is a predicted model, not a curated record. The transcript has a single exon.